Molecule: non-coding RNA, 925 nt
Filed under: Scinax tripui
Lineage: Eukaryota; Metazoa; Chordata; Amphibia; Anura; Hylidae
Description: partial 12S small subunit ribosomal RNA
Rfam family: Bacterial small subunit ribosomal RNA
Source: RNAcentral
UGGUCCUAGCCUUGAAAUCAACUUUUACUUAACUUACACAUGCAAGUAUCAGCACCCCCGUGAAAACGCCCUUUUAACCCUAAUAGGGAUAAGGAGCUGGUAUCAGGCCCAAUUUUAGCCCAAGACACCUAGCUACGCCACACCCACAAGGGAACUCAGCAGUGAUUAACAUUGACAAUAAGCGCAAGCUUGACUCAGUUAAAGUAGAAUAGAGCCGGCAAAUACCAGUGCCAGCCGCCGCGGCUACACCACGAGGCUCAAGUUGAACUCUAACGGCGUAAAGCGUGAUUAAAGCUAACUUAAACUGUAGUUAAACAAAAGCUAAGCUGUAAUACGCUUGCUUCAUCGAAAACCAAAAACGAAAGUUACUACAAUACAAUCAACUUGAAUUCACGACAGCUAGGAAAUCAAACUGGGAUUAGAUACCCCACUAUGCCUAACCGUAAACCUUAACUUACAUCCAAAUCGCCAGGGAACUACGAGCAAAGCUUAAAACCCAAAGGACUUGACGGUACCCCACAUCCACCUAGAGGAGCCUGUCCUAUAAUCGAUAAUCCCCGUUUAACCUCACCACUCUUAGCCUAUCAGCCUGUAUACCUCCGUCGUCAGCUUACCUCGUGAGCGAUUCUCAGUGAGCUUGAUGCCCACUCGGCUAAACGUCAGGUCAAGGUGCAGCUUACGGAGUGGGAAGAGAUGGGCUACACUUUCUAACUUAGAAAAUACGAAAGACUAUUUAUGAAAUCUAGUCAGAAGGCGGAUUUAGUAGUAAAAGAAGACAAUAAUGCUUUUUUUAACUUGGCACUGGGGUGUGUACACACCGCCCGUCACCCUCUUCAAACCCGAUAUAUUAGUAUUUAACCAAUCAAGGAAAAAUAGAAGAGGCAAGUCGUAACAUGGUAAGUAUACCGGAAGGUGUGCUUGGAAA